RNAcentral lists this ribosomal RNA (163 nucleotides) under uncultured bacterium. RNAcentral's name for it is "partial 16S rRNA". It matches the Rfam family "Bacterial small subunit ribosomal RNA", at positions 355 to 511 of the family's 1533-position model. The record is from RNAcentral.
UAGGGAAUCUUCCACAAUGGACGAAAGUCUGAUGGAGCAACGCCGCGUGAGUGAAGAAGGGUUUCGGCUCGUAAACUCUGUUGUUAAAGAAGAACAUAUCUGAGAGUAACUGUUCAGGUAUUGACGGCAUUUAACCAGAAAGCCACGGCUAACUACGUGCCAG